Molecule: ribosomal RNA, 372 nt
Filed under: uncultured organism
Description: partial 16S ribosomal RNA
Rfam family: Bacterial small subunit ribosomal RNA
Source: RNAcentral
GUAGGUGGCAAGCGUUGUCCGGAAUUAUUGGGCGUAAAGCGCGCGCAGGCGGUUCUUCAAGUCUGAUGUGAAAGCCCACGGCUCAACCGUGGAGGGUCAUUGGAAACUGGAGAACUUGAGUACAGAAGAGGAAAGCGGAAUUCCACGUGUAGCGGUGAAAUGCGUAGAGAUGUGGAGGAACACCAGUGGCGAAGGCGGCUUUCUGGUCUGUAACUGACGCUGAGGCGCGAAAGCGUGGGGGGAGCAAACAGGGUUAGAUACCCUGGUAGUCCACGCCGUAAACGAUGAGUGCUAAGUGUUAGGGGGUUUCCGCCCCUUAGUGCUGCAGCUAACGCAUUAAGCACUCCGCCUGGGAGUACGGCCGCAAGGCUG